UMUUCGGAUCGUAAAGCUCUGUUGUAAGAGAAGAACGAGUGUGAGAGUGGAAAGUUCACACUGUGACGGUAUCUUACCAGAAAGGGACGGCUAACUACGUGCCAGCAGCCGCGGUAAUACGUAGGUCCCGAGCGUUGUCCGGAUUUAUUGGGCGUAAAGCGAGCGCAGGCGGUUAGAUAAGUCUGAAGUUAAAGGCUGUGGCUUAACCAUAGUACGCUUUGGAAACUGUUUAACUUGAGUGCAAGAGGGGAGAGUGGAAUUCCAUGUGUAGCGGUGAAAUGCGUAGAUAUAUGGAGGAACACCGGUGGCGAAAGCGGCUCUCUGGCUUGUAACUGACGCUGAGGCUCGAAAGCGUGGGGAGCAAACAGGAUUAGAUACCCUGGUAGUCCACGCCGUAAACGAUGAGUGCUAGGUGUUAGACCCUUUCCGGGGUUUAGUGCCGCAGCUAACGCAUUAAGCACUCCGCCUGGGGAGUACGACCGCAAGGUUGAAACUCAAA
RNAcentral lists this ribosomal RNA (499 nucleotides) under uncultured bacterium. RNAcentral describes it as "bacterial SSU rRNA". It matches the Rfam family "Bacterial small subunit ribosomal RNA", at positions 415 to 905 of the family's 1533-position model. The record is from RNAcentral.